Molecule: ribosomal RNA, 756 nt
Filed under: uncultured bacterium
Lineage: Bacteria
Description: bacterial SSU rRNA
Rfam family: Bacterial small subunit ribosomal RNA
Source: RNAcentral
AAUAACAGAUGGAAACGUCUGCUAAUGCCGCAUAAGCGCACACUGUGGCAUCACAGAGUGUGAAAAACUCCGGUGGUAUGAGAUGGCCCCGCGUCUGAUUAGGCAGUUGGCGGGGUAACGGCCCACCAAACCGACGAUCAGUAGCCGACCUGAGAGGGUGACCGGCCACAUUGGGACUGAGACACGGCCCAAACUCCUACGGGAGGCAGCAGUGGGGAAUAUUGCACAAUGGGGGAAACCCUGAUGCAGCGACGCCGCGUGGGUGACGAAGUAUUUCGGUAUGUAAAGCCCUAUCAGCAGGGAAGAAGUUGACAGUACCUGACUAAGAAGCCCCGGCUAACUACGUGCCAGCAGCCGCGGUAAUACGUAGGGGGCAAGCGUUAUCCGGAUUUACUGGGUGUAAAGGGAGCGUAGACGGCGCUGCAAGUCUGAUGUGAAAACCCGGGGCUCAACCCCGGGAGUGCAUUGGAAACUGUGGUGCUAGAGUGUCGGAGAGGCAAGUGGAAUUCCUAGUGUAGCGGUGAAAUGCGUAGAUAUUAGGAGGAACACCAGUGGCGAAGGCGGCUUGCUGGACGAUGACUGACGUUGAGGCUCGAAAGCGUGGGGAGCAAACAGGAUUAGAUACCCUGGUAGUCCACGCCGUAAACGAUGACUGCUAGGUGUCGGGGGGCAUGGCCCUUCGGUGCCGCAGCAAACGCAAUAAGCAGUCCACCUGGGGAGUACGUUCGCAAGAAUGAAACUCAAAGGAAUUGACGG